Molecule: unclassified non-coding RNA, 221 nt
Filed under: Cercospora agavicola
Lineage: Eukaryota; Fungi; Ascomycota; Dothideomycetes; Mycosphaerellales; Mycosphaerellaceae
Description: partial internal transcribed spacer region
Rfam family: Eukaryotic small subunit ribosomal RNA (bases 1-46)
Source: RNAcentral
AAGUCGUAACAAGGUCUCCGUAGGUGAACCUGCGGAGGGAUCAUUACUGAGUGAGGGCCUUCGGGCUCGACCUCCAACCCUUUGUGAACACAACUUGUUGCUUCGGGGGCGACCCUGCCGUUUCGACGGCGAGCGCCCCCGGAGGCCUUCAAACACUGCAUCUUUGCGUCGGAGUUUAAGUAAAUUAAACAAAACUUUCAACAACGGAUCUCUUGGCUCUC